Molecule: ribosomal RNA, 599 nt
Filed under: uncultured marine eukaryote
Lineage: Eukaryota
Description: SSU rRNA
Rfam family: Eukaryotic small subunit ribosomal RNA
Source: RNAcentral
AAAAGCUCGUAGUUGGAUUUCGGAGUGGGCCAGUUGGUCCGCCGCAAGGUGUGUUACUGACUGGUUUGCUCUUCUUCGCAAAGACUGCGUGUGCUCUUUAUUGAGUGUGCGUAGGAUUUACGACGUUUACUUUGAAAAAAUUAGAGUGUUCAAAGCAGGCUAUUGCUUGAAUACAUGAGCAUGGAAUAAUGGAAUAGGAUUUUGGUCCCGUUUUGUUGGUUUCUAGGACCGAAGUAAUGAUUAAGAGGGACAAUUGGGGGCAUCCGUAUUUCGUUGUCAGAGGUGAAAUUCUUGGAUUUACGAAAGACGAACAACUGCGAAAGCACUUGCCAAGAGUGUUUUCAUUAAUCAAGAACGAAAGUUAGAGGAUCGAAGACGAUCAGAUACCGUCCUAGUUCUAACCAUAAACGAUGUCGACUAGGGAUCAGCGGGCGUUAUCGUACGACCCCGUUGGCACCUUACGGGAAACCAAAGUUUCUGGAUUCCGGGGGAAGUAUAGUCGCAAGUCCGAAACUUAAAGGAAUUGACGGAAGGGCACCACCAGGAGUGGAGCCUGUGGCUCAAUUUGACUCAACACGGGAAAACUUACCAGGUCCAGA